GCCGCUCUAAGCUUGCAGGUAAAACAAAGAUUUUGUAAUGUAACACCUGUAUAUGCAUAUACACUGGCUGUUUGAAUUAUGAAUUUAUUUACAACUUGCCUAGUUUAUCAUAAAUGAUUAUUGUUAUAUUAUACAAACAGAAAAGAUUUCUUUUAAAUACAAAGACUGCAAAUGAAUACAUGAAAAAAUUACACACAUGUACAAUAUUUAUAAUUUAUAAAUGCAAAGUUAAGAUCUCUUUAAGUUAUUGCACUUGUGCAUUUUACAAAGUUUUUAUAUGUCAGAUGUAUAAAAUAUUUGUAAAUUUAUAACUCAUUAACUGUAAUGAAAUUGGAUAUUAACUCAAAAUUCUUUCUCCUUCUAAAAGAGAGCCCACUAAAACUGUGGAUACAGAUCCAUUGAGUCUAAAAAUCAGCAUUAUUACGAGAUUCAUUGUAUUUUUGAUAUCCUGUAACCCAUAUGUCACUCCAGCAGCUUCCUGUCAGCAAGGAGAUUAUAGAUGCCUUGGCUAAGUAGAGAUAGAGAAUCUUUUGUUCAUAAGGACUUGUUAAAAACAAAAGUCACCUUUUCAGAAAGAGUCAGGAUACUGCAUUUCUAUAAAUUUGGUAACUGUUUCACAGUGUUUUGGGCACACACAUUUUUUCCCAUGGGUCACUGGGGUGGGCAUGGUAAAAUGUGGGGGCACUGUGUGGAAACCACUUCUGUGAUGAAGUCUAUGUCCGAUGUUCACGCUGAGUGAAUAUAUAGAAUAUACACCAUACAACAGAUCGUACGGAAGAGAACGUUCCCGUACAUCAUUUGCCUAGGAUAUUUGGGACAUGACACAGGACUGGGAGCUAAAGAGAAAACAAAGGCUGCAAUGCCCAAGAGAGGAUGAUAUUUUUAGGUGGGCUAGGGUACGAGAUAACACACUUUUAAAACUUAACUUGCCCUAGGAAUGAAAUCUUUCCACUUAAGUGUCAGAAAAUGGACAGUUCCUCGGUAAUAUUAGCUGAAACUUGGCGUGUGUAGACCUACUUCUCUACUUGGUGGCUUGGACUGGCUGGAAGUUUCCGCCUGGGUCCUGGGGUAACACUGACCUUGCCCGGCAGACGCAUGAGGGUCUGCGUGCUCUUAGAGUGGUCAGAGAAGAAAACGCUGAGAGUUUGGGCAAAGGCAGUGAUGCUUAUUUGGAUUUCAAACGUGUUCCUUGGAAAACAUGGACGUCUUUAACUUUGUCCCACCUAUUAAAUUUAGAACGAGAGCAGCAUAGAAACUGUUUUCUUCCUCUUUUUUUUUUUUUGCUAUUUUUAUCAUCGCAUAAAUGUAUCUAAUGCUUCAAUCAAAAUACGCAGUAAAAAAAGAGAAAACAGAGUAAGCAGUGCAUGGAGUAUCACAGUUUAAACCUAAGUGUUUAAAGAAAUUGGCAAAGUGUGUAUCAGCAUAAAUACUUAUGCAAAAGUAAAAAGACACCAGCCACGCGCUAUAGACAUGCCUGGGGAAAGCGCCACGGCAGCAGACCUGGUUAGUUUACAUUUAACAGUGAUUUUAAAUCAUAUUAACACUCGCAAUUGAAGGGAUACUUUAAAGCAAAUAAACGAAAAGUUUUUAAAGAAUGAAACCCUGAAGAAAAC
This 1613-nucleotide long non-coding RNA is filed under the name Bos taurus (domestic cattle). RNAcentral's name for it is "long non-coding RNA NONBTAT031551". The record is from RNAcentral. Lineage: Eukaryota; Metazoa; Chordata; Mammalia; Artiodactyla; Bovidae.